Molecule: unclassified non-coding RNA, 211 nt
Filed under: uncultured Cortinariaceae
Lineage: Eukaryota; Fungi; Basidiomycota; Agaricomycetes; Agaricales; Cortinariaceae
Description: sequence contains ITS1
Source: RNAcentral
UUGAAAUAAACUUGGUGUGGGUUGUAGCUGGCCUUUUUGGCAAGUGCUCGCCUUCAUCAUCUUUAUAUUUCCACCUGUGCACUUCUGUAGACGAGAAAGAAAAAGAGGAAUUAAUUUCUCUCAAGUAUUUCUUGCCUAUGCUUUUAAUAUACUCCAAAAAUGUAAUAGAAUGACAAUCUAUGGGCCUUUGCGCCUAUAAACAAAAAUUAUA